GAUGAACGCUGGCGGCGUGCCUAAUACAUGCAAGUCGAGCGGACGGACGAGAAGCUUGCCUCGCUGAUGUUAGCCGCGCGAGUGUGAGUAACACGUGGAUAACGUACCUAUCAGAGUGCGAUAACUUCGGGAAACCGGCGCUAAUACCGUAUAAUAUUUUGAACCGCAUGGUUCAAAAGUGAAAGACGGUCUUGCUGUCACUUAUAGAUGGAUCCGCGCUGCAUUAGCUAGUUGGUAAGGUAACGGCUUACCAAGGCAACACGGCAUAGCCGACCUGGGUGGGUGGUGGGCCACCGUGGAGGUGGGACACCGUCAGGAGGCCUACGGGAGGCACCAGUAGGGAAUCUUCGGCAGUGGGCGAAAGCCUUGCGGAGCAACGCCGCGCGGGUGAUGAGGGUCUUGGGAUCGUAAAACUGUGUUAUUAGGGAAAAACCUCUGUCUAAGUUACUGUGCACAUCUUGACGGUAGCUAAUCAGAAAGCCACGGCUAACUACGUG
This 497-nucleotide ribosomal RNA is filed under the name uncultured bacterium. RNAcentral describes it as "partial 16S ribosomal RNA". It matches the Rfam family "Bacterial small subunit ribosomal RNA", at positions 28 to 507 of the family's 1533-position model. The record is from RNAcentral.